UACGGAGGGUGCGAGCGUUGUCCGGAAUCACUGGGCGUAAAGGGCGCGUAGGUGGUGGCUUAAGCGUGCGGUGAAAGCUCGGGGCUCAACCCCGAGUCGGCCGUGCGAACUGGGCUCACUGGAGCAUAGUAGAGGCAGGUGGAAUUCCGGGUGUAGCGGUGGAAUGCGUAGAGAUCCGGAGGAAGACCGGUGGCGAAGGCGGCCUGCUGGGCAGUUACUGACACUGAGGCGCGACAGCGUGGGGAGCAAACAGG
This 254-nucleotide ribosomal RNA is filed under the name uncultured bacterium. RNAcentral's name for it is "partial 16S ribosomal RNA". It matches the Rfam family "Bacterial small subunit ribosomal RNA", at positions 524 to 776 of the family's 1533-position model. The record is from RNAcentral.